This 81-nucleotide transfer RNA is filed under the name Pseudonocardia thermophila. It matches the Rfam family "tRNA". From Rfam's summary of the family: Transfer RNA (tRNA) molecules are approximately 80 nucleotides in length. Their secondary structure includes four short double-helical elements and three loops (D, anti-codon, and T loops). Further hydrogen bonds mediate the characteristic L-shaped molecular structure. tRNAs have two regions of fundamental functional importance: the anti-codon, which is responsible for specific mRNA codon recognition, and the 3' end, to which the tRNAs corresponding amino acid is attached (by aminoacyl-tRNA synthetases). tRNAs cope with the degeneracy of the genetic code in two manners: having more than one tRNA (with a specific anti-codon) for a particular amino acid; and 'wobble' base-pairing, i.e. permitting non-standard base-pairing at the 3rd anti-codon position. The record is from Rfam by way of RNAcentral. Lineage: Bacteria; Bacillati; Actinomycetota; Actinomycetes; Pseudonocardiales; Pseudonocardiaceae.
GGGGGGUUGCCCGAGCGGCCAAUGGGAGCGGACUGUAAAUCCGUCGCGAAAGCUACAGAGGUUCGAAUCCUCUACCCCCCA